GAUGAACGCUGGCGGCGUGCCUAAUACAUGCAAGUCGAGCGAACGGACGAGAAGCUUGCUUCUCUGAUGUUAGCGGCGGACGGGUGAGUAACACGUGGAUACCCUACCUAUAAGACUGGGAUAACUUCGGGAAACCGGAGCUAAUACCGGAUAAUAUUUUGAACCGCAUGGUUCAAAAUUGCAAUACGGUCUUGCUGUCACUUAUAGAUGGAUCCGCGCUGCAUUAGCUAGUUGGUAAGGUAACGUCUUACCAAGGAAACGAUGCAUAGCCGACCUGAGAGGAUGAUCGGCCACCCUGGAAAUGAGACCCGGUCCAGACUCAUACGGGAGGCAGCCGUAGGGAAUCUUCCGCAUUGGGCGAAAGCCUGACGGAGAAACGCCGCGUGCGUGAUGAAGGUCUUCGGAUCGUAAAACUCUGUUAUUAGGGAAGAACAUAUGUGUAAGUAACUGUGCACAUCUUGACGGUACCUAAUCAGAAAGCCACGGCUAACUACGUG
Molecule: ribosomal RNA, 497 nt
Filed under: uncultured bacterium
Lineage: Bacteria
Description: partial 16S ribosomal RNA
Rfam family: Bacterial small subunit ribosomal RNA
Source: RNAcentral